UCCGCCACCGACGUCGGUUCAGUAACGCCGUUGCCGCGAACGCGUACCACCGUCUUCUGGUGUCGGUCCUGCCGAUUCCUCACGCCGUUUCGCUGGCACACGUUUGGCGAUCUUCGUAAAUCCAUACGACAUCAUUGGUCGGCGAUUUUCUCUCCCCCAACCAUUGUACCCACCGCCGCCGUACUAUUAUUGUUUUCAUUUUAUUUUUUUUUUUUUAAAUCAUUAUUAUCGAUAUUACCAAUUAUUCACGCCCGACGCUGGUAGUGUCUGCGAUUCGAAAUCAGUUUCAGAAUUUGCUGAAUGUCAAAUAUAAUAUUCUUUUAAUUGGAAGAUUCUGCCAAUGCAUUAAAGUAAUAGUAUCAGGAAAACGACAACGGCGACGACAAUGUAACGGCGACCGUGUACGACUACUGCUGAGCUGACAACGAAGUUGGCGGCGGCUGCGGACACACUAACGCGCCGGACACGACGC
Molecule: long non-coding RNA, 472 nt
Organism: Melanaphis sacchari
Lineage: Eukaryota; Metazoa; Arthropoda; Insecta; Hemiptera; Aphididae
Exons: 3
Source: RefSeq, a predicted model, not a curated record